Molecule: microRNA precursor, 93 nt
Organism: Chlorocebus sabaeus (green monkey)
Lineage: Eukaryota; Metazoa; Chordata; Mammalia; Primates; Cercopithecidae
Source: Ensembl
CCAGGUGUGGUGGUAGGCGCCUGUGAUCCCAACUACUCUGGAGGCUGAGGCAGGAGAAUCUCUUGAACCCGGGAGGCGGAGGUUGCAGUAAGC